UACGUAGGGACCGAGCGUUGUCCGGAAUCAUUGGGCGUAAAGAGCGUGUAGGCGGCCACUUAAGUCCUGCGUGAAAUCUUGCGGCUCAACCGCAAGCGGUCGUGGGAAACUGGGUGGCUAGAGUGCGGGAGAGGAGAGUGGAAUUCCUGGUGUAGCGGCGGAAUGCGCAGAUAUCAGGAAGAACACCCGUGGCGAAGGCGGCUCUCUGGAACGCAACUGACGCUGAGACGCGAAAGCGUGGGGAGCAAACAGG
This 253-nucleotide ribosomal RNA is filed under the name uncultured bacterium. Its description in RNAcentral is "partial 16S ribosomal RNA". It matches the Rfam family "Bacterial small subunit ribosomal RNA", at positions 524 to 776 of the family's 1533-position model. The record is from RNAcentral.